Molecule: long non-coding RNA, 355 nt
Filed under: Phoenix dactylifera (date palm)
Lineage: Eukaryota; Viridiplantae; Streptophyta; Magnoliopsida; Arecales; Arecaceae
Description: long non-coding RNA (PDAC_LNC004680)
Source: RNAcentral
GCUCAAAGCCUGGCACUUGACCAACCCUAAUCUGACUAAAAGUUCAUAUACUUCCCUACUUGUCCUUUCAUAAUUGGACUGGCUACAACCUAAACAUUUUACAACGCCUUGAGCCUGGCUUAGUUAGGAUCAGUGGAUGUGUACAAAAUUGUUUGUCCCACCCUGUAUAGAGCCUGGAAAUAGCAUCCUAGGCUACGUUGGCCUUUCCACUGACCUGGGGCAAGAGAUUUUUACCAGCUAAUGCUUCCCAAAUUUUCCAUCUACUACAUCUCUUUCACCAUUUUUCUUUGAUCUGUCCGUGUCAUACUACUAAUCAGAUGAUCUACUGGGAUCCUUAUGGUAUUCAUUCUCAUCU